UACGUAGGUGGCGAGCGUUGUCCGGAAUUAUUGGGCGUAAAGCGCGCGUAGGCGGGAUAUUAAGUCUAUUCUAAAAGUGCGGGGCUCAACCCCGUGAUGGGAUGGAAACUAAUAUUCUUGAGUACCGGAGAGGAAAGCGGAAUUCCCAGUGUAGCGGUGAAAUGCGUAGAUAUUGGGAGGAACACCAGUGGCGAAGGCGGCUUUCUGGACGGUGUCUGACGCUGAGGCGCGAAAGCCAGGGGAGCGAACGGG
Molecule: ribosomal RNA, 252 nt
Filed under: uncultured bacterium
Lineage: Bacteria
Also listed under: 1 other name
Description: partial 16S ribosomal RNA
Rfam family: Bacterial small subunit ribosomal RNA
Source: RNAcentral